GAGGGUGGGUCGAAGCGGGAAAUGGGGAUGGUUCCCAUAGGAAGGGCUUCGAUUUCUCGGUCUCUCCCAAUCCAUGUUCCAAAUAUAUCACUAUCAAAUCCGAAUUCAAUUCCUAAGAAAAACGAGUUGUUGUGCAGCUUCAUCCGAAACCAAAACAAUUCGGCGGUGAGCUGUUUUUCCCAGUUUCUUCCUUCUCACUAAUUUAUCGAAAAUUGCAAAAAGAAAAACGCAAUAGUAAUGUAGGCAGUUAAGCCUGAACGGGAGCUCUCAAAAUUAGCUCCUUCAAAGAGCCUGGUAAGUGUUACCUGCACCUUAAAAAGGUCGAGAGAGGUGGGGAUGAUGCAUUCCUUGUUCACGACUACAAUGGGGGAGUUGUUGCUGUUGCUGACGGUGUCUCUGGGUUGUGAGCUCACAACAUAUAUUCUUCCCUUGGCUGAGGAUCAAACUGGUGAAACUCGUAGAGAACAGGAAAAAACACUCGAAUCAUAGUCACGAAGUUCUUAUUUAUUCUUGGCUUCUAGGUUGUCUUGUAAAGUUUGAGGAUCUUGUAAUGACGCCAAGGAAAUUGAAAGUGUCCACAUUUGAAUAUAAA
This is an RNA transcript of Populus trichocarpa (black cottonwood), 592 nucleotides long. It is a transcript of the gene named probable protein phosphatase 2C 26, with no coding region annotated. NCBI's taxonomy places the organism in Eukaryota, Viridiplantae, Streptophyta, Magnoliopsida, Malpighiales, Salicaceae. The record is from RefSeq and is a predicted model, not a curated record. The transcript is spliced from 3 exons.